UACGUAGGUGGCAAGCGUUGUCCGGAUUUACUGGGCGUAAAGGGCGUGCAGGCGGUCUGUUAAGUUCAGGGUGAAAGCUCCCGGCUCAACUGGGAGAGGUCCUUGGAUACUGGCAGACUUGAGGAGGGUAGAGGAGAGUGGAAUUCCCGGUGUAGUGGUGAUAUGCGUAGAUAUCGGGAGGAACACCAGUGGCGAAGGCGGCUCUCUGGGCCCUACCUGACGCUGAGACGCGAAAGCGUGGGGAGCGAACAGG
Molecule: ribosomal RNA, 253 nt
Filed under: uncultured bacterium
Lineage: Bacteria
Description: partial 16S ribosomal RNA
Rfam family: Bacterial small subunit ribosomal RNA
Source: RNAcentral